UAAUACAGAGGUGGCAAGCGUUGUUCGGAAUUACUGGGCGUAAAGGGCGCGUAGGCGGUUGGAUAAGUCAGCUGUGAAAACCACGGGCUUAACUCGUGGCCUGCAGUUGAGACUGUCUGGCUUGAGUGUGGGAGAGGAGAGUGGAAUUCCUGGUGUAGCGGUGAAAUGCGUAGAUAUCAGGAGGAACACCGGUGGCGAAGGCGGCUCUCUGGACCACAACUGACGCUGAGGCGCGAAAGCUAGGGGAGCAAACAGGAUUAGAUACCCUGGUAGUCCUAGCUGUAAACGAUGGAUACUUGCUGUGGGGGGUGUUAAAUCCCCCUGUGGCGGAGCUAACGCAUUAAGUAUCCCGCCUGGGGAGUACGGUCGCAAGGCUG
This 377-nucleotide ribosomal RNA is filed under the name uncultured bacterium. Its description in RNAcentral is "bacterial SSU rRNA". It matches the Rfam family "Bacterial small subunit ribosomal RNA", at positions 521 to 896 of the family's 1533-position model. The record is from RNAcentral.